RNA transcript from Mesoplodon densirostris (Blainville's beaked whale), 2709 nucleotides. It is a transcript of the gene named SPRY domain containing 4, with no coding region annotated. The record is from RefSeq and is a predicted model, not a curated record. The transcript has 3 exons. NCBI's taxonomy places the organism in Eukaryota, Metazoa, Chordata, Mammalia, Artiodactyla, Ziphiidae.
GUUCAUCCGUGGUGCAAGAUGGCGCUGCCCUUUGGUCGUUCGCUGUGCUUGUGCCGCUGGGGAGCAAAACGCUUGGGGGUUGCCGCCGUAGAUGCCCGCAGAGGCGUCAGUUUCAAACUGGAAGAAAAGACCGCUCACAGCAGCCUGGCACUCUUCAAAGGUGACACAGGUGUCAAAUACGGCAUGGUGGGAUUAGAGCCCACAAAAUUGGCCCUGAAUGUGGAGCGCUUCCGGGAGUGGGCAGUGGUGUUGGCAGACACAGCGGUUACCAGUGGCAGGCACUACUGGGAGGUGACAGUGAAGCGCUCCCAGCAAUUCCGGAUAGGAGUGGCAGACGUGGAUAUUUCCCGGGAUAGCUGCAUCGGUGUUGACGAUCGUUCCUGGGUGUUCAUCUAUGCUCAGCGCAAGUGGCACACCAUGUUGGCCAACGAGAAAGCCCCUAUUGAGGGCAUUGGGCAGCCAGAGAAGGUGGGGCUGCUGCUGGAGUAUGAGGCCCAGAAGCUGAGCCUGGUGGAUGUGAGCCGGGUUGCUGUGGUCCACACACUACAGACAGAUUUCCGGGGUCCAGUGGUGCCUGCUUUUGCCCUUUGGGAUGGAGAGCUGCUGACUCAUUCGGGGCUUGAGGUGCCUGAAGGCCUCUAGUAUGUCGGUCACUGGAGUCCCUAAUCACGCUCUUGGCCAGCCUCCUGAUCCAAGUGUCUGAAACCUUUUAACUGUGCCCCAAGCAACUGCUAGGUCCCACAAUUCAGUGAUGGGUCCUCUGUGCAAUAUCUGUCAUCUUCCUCUCCCCUACCUUGUGAAAGCUAGGCAUACAGCUACCCUCUCCCCUCCCCCAGACUAUUGCCAGUUUUCUAGGCUACCAUGAAUGUACUUUCUCUGACUUGCUUCCUUCAGUCUCUCUGCCUCCCUGUGCUCAGGACUUUCUCAGACUGUAUUCAGUCCUAGGGUCUUACUUUUCAGCUUUGUUUGAAUUUAUUCAUCACUGUGCUACUUCUCCUUCCCUUUGCCCACAUGUAACCUGUUUGUUUUGGGGGCUCUACCGAAUCUCUCCAGAGUAAAUCCUUUCUACCUCUGGCUGGAGGAGUAGUGCAGUGAAUGAGUUUGCCCUUUCUGUACAGCACAUACAGAGUCUGGGCUCUGGCUCCCUCAGGUAGUGCUUUACUGACUGUGUCAGAAUGAGAACAGAGCCCUCCUUGCCUAAUACCUCAGUGUUACAGACUCUCAGCCCCAGACAGCUGCAGCUCUCCUCACCCUGAGUCCAUCUGCCUUACUUUGCACACCUCUAACACCUGGUCAAUCUGUUGCAAUCAUUGGACCAGUUACAGCCACGACCAAAGGGGAAGAGACGUGGGGAUUAGUACUAGAAACUUUAUUCUUGAGAAGUUCCAUCUUCAUUUCUGCUACAGUUGUAACUUCCAGAGGGAGGAGGGAGGCCUGAAGUCUUGCACAAUCCAUUUUGGGGCCUGUUCAGACCAAAGCACUUGUCCCCACUUGGAGCAGAAUACACUUAACCUAAAGCAGUAUUUGGGAUUGAAGAAAACCUAGUGGGGUGAGUAUGUAUGUGAAAUAUGUAUUCUUUGGGCUCUGUAUGACCCUGUGGUUCCAUCUUACUCUACCUUUAUGAUGGUGAUGCAGCUGGAUGGCCCUAGGGGAGAAAGAGAAAGACUGGGUCUAGCAAAAUAAUAAUUUGUGUAAUUAAAGUUUAUUUGAGCACAAAAUACUUUCUCUGUCUAUAAAAUUGCUGUUAGCAGUAGCAGCACUUCCUGGCCAAGGGGGGCAGAUCUCUCCAGACGACUAAAGCCUGGUGCAUAGCUCCUCUCUUUCUCUGUGGAUAUAUAGAUGUGUGUGGUGGCUAGAGCCCCUUACCAGAGUAUCUCUCUCUCAUAAUGGCAUCUUCAGAGAGAGGAAGAGGGGACCUGCGUGAAGACCUGGGAUGAUCUGGAGUGGGCUAAGCCAUUAGGCUGUCCCUUAAAGAAGCCCACAAUCUUCAUGGAUAGCUCUACUGCAGGAGUCCACAAAGGCACUUCUCUAUACUCUGUCUGCCAAGGGAAUGGGGUAUUUUGACUCUCACUGAAAGCACUGCCCCCCCUACCCCACCCCCUUGAAGCAGUGCGGCCCUCUGUAGCAUGAUUGGUGGUUAUAUGUUAAGUGUGUGGCCAGUUCGUGCUUUUUCUUGUGCAGGGACUGUGCAUGCCCCAUGCUCACACCAUGCUCUCUAAGUUCUCUUUGGACAGGGCCUCAGCUGCUGCUUCAGCCUGAGUCUCAGAUGAUACCUUCAGCUGCAGCAACAUGCAGGGCUGUGCGGGAGUCAUAGUCUUUCUGUUCCAUGUCCAUGGCUGACAAGGCAAACCUAAGAGGAGUGGAAAGUAGCUGGAGUUACCCAGAUCAGCCUAGAAUCACUGGUAUCCUUUCUGAAGUGGGGUCAGACUGGAUGAGUUCCAGAAAAAGCAAAACAGAGCUUAUGCCAAGAUGUGUAGACCGUGUACAGUCUGUGUUCUCUAUCCAGAUGAGACUUACUCCUACGUCAGAGAGAUGGGAGUGUGAUGGUUCCAGAAACAUCACUGCCUACCUGUAGUAGGUGCCCAGUACAUAUUUGUUGAUGUUGGUAAUCCAUUUGAGGCAGGGUCCUUACCAGCCUCCUAGGACUCUGCUUUUAACGCCCAGGUUAAUCAUAACAGUGGCUACCAUUAAGUUCUUAUCACAUGGCAG